CCACCGCGGUUAGACGAGAGGCCCUAGUUAAUAAUAUAACGGCGUAAAGGGUGGUUAAGGAUUUCAAAAAAUAAAGCCAAAUGGCCCCUCGGUCGUCAUACACUUCUGGGAGUCCGAACCCCUAACACGAAAGUAGCUUUAAUAAAUUUACCCGACCCCACGAAAGCUGAGAAACAAACUGGGAUUAGAUACCCCACUAUGCUCAGCCGUAAACCCCGACAUUCAACUACAAUCAAAUGUCCGCCAGGGUACUACGAGCAUUAGCUUAAAACCCAAAGGACCUGACGGUGUCUCAGACCCCCCUAGAGGAGCCUGUUUUAGAACCGAUAACCCCCGUUAAACCUCACCACUUCUAGCCAUCUCAGCCUAUAUACCGCCGUCGUCAGCUUACCCUGUGAAGGUAAUAAAAGUAAGCAAAAUGGGUACAACCCAGAACGUCAGGUCAAGGUGUAGCCUAUGAAGUGGAAAGAAAUGGGCUACAUUUUCUGUAACAGAAUAUAACGAAUAUGCACCAUGAAACAAUGCUUAAAGGAGGAUUUAGUAGUAAAAAGGAAAUAGAGUGUCCCUUUGAACCCGGCUCUGAGACGCGUACACACCGCCCGUCACUCUCCCCUGUCAAAACGCACCAAAAAUACCUAAUAAACUAGCACUGACAAGGGGAGGCAAGUCGUAACACG
This 677-nucleotide ribosomal RNA is filed under the name Epalzeorhynchos munense. RNAcentral's name for it is "partial 12S ribosomal RNA". It matches the Rfam family "Bacterial small subunit ribosomal RNA", at positions 512 to 1495 of the family's 1533-position model. Lineage: Eukaryota; Metazoa; Chordata; Actinopteri; Cypriniformes; Cyprinidae. The record is from RNAcentral.